GCCCUCGGUGGCUCAGAUGGAUAGAGCGUCUGCCAUGUAAGCAGGAGAUCCUGGGUUCGAGUCCCUGUCGGGGCA
RNAcentral lists this transfer RNA (75 nucleotides) under Schistocerca americana (American grasshopper). Its description in RNAcentral is "tRNA-Thr". It matches the Rfam family "tRNA". From Rfam's summary of the family: Transfer RNA (tRNA) molecules are approximately 80 nucleotides in length. Their secondary structure includes four short double-helical elements and three loops (D, anti-codon, and T loops). Lineage: Eukaryota; Metazoa; Arthropoda; Insecta; Orthoptera; Acrididae. RNAcentral also lists the same sequence under 1 other name. The record is from RNAcentral.